Mycena vitilis is the source of this 94-nucleotide non-coding RNA. Lineage: Eukaryota; Fungi; Basidiomycota; Agaricomycetes; Agaricales; Mycenaceae. The record is from the annotation of a GenBank genome assembly.
GCCCUGGUAGAUCAGUUGGAUGAUCAUCCGCUUUCAGUGUUGGGCAUCAAUUAAGUCUCAGCGGACGAUGCGGGUUCAAAUCCCGCUUGGGGCA